UGUUUUAUGCAAAAGUUGUAAUGAGCAUAAACUCACCUUUACUUUGAAGUACUUCUUUCUUGCUUUAUUUGAUAUGCAUGAAAAUGAAGUAGUUGGGUCCAACGCCCCUAAGACAACACGCCUUAAUGUGAUUAAACGCGUAACUAAAAUCAAUCACCAUCUCUAGACCGAGAUUCAACACAAGGCUUGUGUUGAAUCUAAACAAAGGUUCAUAAUCAUCCUAAGGCCCUAAGGCAACUAUAUAGUCCAUCAAAUG
Molecule: long non-coding RNA, 256 nt
Filed under: Malus domestica (apple)
Lineage: Eukaryota; Viridiplantae; Streptophyta; Magnoliopsida; Rosales; Rosaceae
Description: long non-coding RNA (MDOM_LNC012419)
Source: RNAcentral